CCUACGGGGGGCAGCAGUAGGGAAUAUUGCUCAAUGGAGGAAACUCUGAACCAGCAACGCCGCGUGGAGGAUGAAGGUUUUCGGAUUGUAAACUUCUUUUGUUAGAGAAGAUAAUGACGGUAUCUAACGAAUAAGAACCGGCUAACUCCGUGCCAGCAGCCGCGGUAAUACGGAGGGUGCAAGCGUUACUCGGAAUCACUGGGCGUAAAGAGCGCGUAGGCGGGAUUUCAAGUCAGAUGUGAAAUCCUAUGGCUUAACCAUAGAACUGCAUUUGAAACUGUUAGUCUUGAGUAUGGGAGAGGUAGGUGGAAUUCUUGGUGUAGGGGUAAAAUGCGUAGAGAUCAAGAGGAAUACUCAUUGCGAAGGCGACCUGCUAGAACAUAACUGACGCUGAGGCGCGAAAGCGUGGGGAGCAAACAGGAUUAGAUACCCCUGUAGUC
RNAcentral lists this ribosomal RNA (440 nucleotides) under uncultured bacterium. RNAcentral describes it as "partial 16S ribosomal RNA". It matches the Rfam family "Bacterial small subunit ribosomal RNA", at positions 338 to 795 of the family's 1533-position model. The record is from RNAcentral.